This 432-nucleotide ribosomal RNA is filed under the name uncultured bacterium. Its description in RNAcentral is "partial 16S ribosomal RNA". It matches the Rfam family "Bacterial small subunit ribosomal RNA", at positions 29 to 507 of the family's 1533-position model. The record is from RNAcentral.
AACGAACGCUGGCGGCAUGCCUAACACAUGCAAGUCGAACGAUGCUUUCGGGCAUAGUGGCGCACGGGUGCGUAACGCGUGGGAAUCUGCCCUUGGGUUCGGAAUAACAGUGAGAAAUUGCUGCUAAUACCGGAUGAUGUCUUCGGACCAAAGAUUUAUCGCCCAGGGAUGAGCCCGCGUAGGAUUAGCUAGUUGGUGGGGUAAUGGCCUACCAAGGCGACGAUCCUUAGCUGGUCUGAGAGGAUGAUCAGCCACACUGGGACUGAGACACGGCCCAGACUCCUACGGGAGGCAGCAGUGGGGAAUAUUGGACAAUGGGCGCAAGCCUGAUCCAGCAAUGCCGCGUGAGUGAUGAAGGCCUUAGGGUUGUAAAGCUCUUUUACCCGGGAUGAUAAUGACAGUACCGGAGAAUAAGCUCCGGCUAACUCCGUG